This 276-nucleotide ribosomal RNA is filed under the name uncultured bacterium. Its description in RNAcentral is "partial 16S ribosomal RNA". It matches the Rfam family "Bacterial small subunit ribosomal RNA", at positions 334 to 607 of the family's 1533-position model. The record is from RNAcentral.
GUGUCCUACGGGAGGCAGCAGUGAGGAAUAUUGGUCAAUGGGCGGGAGCCUGAACCAGCCAAGCCGCGUGAGGGAAGAAGGUACAGCGUAUCGUAAACCUCUUUUGUCAGGGAACAAAGGCGGGGACUAGUCCCCGGAUGAGGGUACCUGAAGAAAAAGCAUCGGCUAACUCCGUGCCAGCAGCAGCGGUAAUACGGAGGAUGCGAGCGUUAUCCGGAUUUAUUGGGUUUAAAGGGUGCGCAGGCGGCCUGUUAAGUCAGAGGUAAAAGCCCGGGG